UACAGAGGUCCCAAGCGUUGUUCGGAUUUACUGGGCGUAAAGGGUGCGUAGGUGGUUGGGUAAGUUUGAUGUGAAAUCUCCGGGCUUAACCCGGAAAAUGCAUUGAAUACUAUCCAGCUUGAGGAUUGGAGGGGGGACUGGAAUGCUCGGUGUAGCAGUGAAAUGCGUAGAUAUCGAGCGGAACACCUGUGGCGAAAGCGGCUCACUGGACCACAACUGACGCUGAGGCGCGAAAGCUAGGGGAGCAAACAGG
RNAcentral lists this ribosomal RNA (253 nucleotides) under uncultured prokaryote. Its description in RNAcentral is "partial 16S ribosomal RNA". It matches the Rfam family "Bacterial small subunit ribosomal RNA", at positions 524 to 776 of the family's 1533-position model. The record is from RNAcentral.